CUGGCGGCUGGGCGGCCGGUUCAGCUCCCGCCGCUCUCCCCAUCGCUGUGCUGUAACAGGUGCCGGCGCCCCCCGCGGAGCAGCGGGCCCGAGGAGGCGCCGAUGGGGAAAUGCCCCCCCUCGUUACGCGCCCAGAGCCGAGGGGGGGGGGCGGCGGGGACUAACCCACCCCACCGCCCUCCGCGGCCUUUCCUCAGCGGCGGCCCGCCCGGCCCCGGUACCUUGUUGAGAUGCGGGUUGCGGGUCACCUCGUAGCCCCGCUUCAUGAUACAGCAUCCAGAACUCCAAAUGAGCCAAAGAGCAUUUUGGGUGCAAAAUGCAUUCAGGGAUUGGACCAGAAAAUAAUUUUUUUCUAGCUACAUAAGUAAUGAAAGGAUUUCCUGGUCUGAUAACAAUUGUGAGAGAUUUAAUCCCAGAAGAUAAUUUUGAAGAAAGUUAUAAAUCAUGUAGAAUAAGAUGGGUCCCAAAUAAGGAAGCUAGCCUUCAUCUCACUUUGUUUCUCUCCCAUCAAGAGGCUGAAGGAUCUGGGCAGCCAGUUCUAAGAGAUGGUUCUGAUAGGGAUUUGAAGAACACAGUUGUAUGUUGGGAGAUGAAGUUAUUAGUUCAUAAAAGUGAAAUAGGAACAGCAACAUUUGAGAAGAGACUUUCUGAAGAUAUCUCAAAACAGAAUAAGUUGACCAGAGUCAAUAAACUGAGAAUAAAUAGCUAUGCCAUUCAAAUGGGCAGCAACUCUUUAUGAAGAGGUAGGGCCCAUCUGCCUGUGACGACCCUAGGAAGGCCUCACCUGGAUGAUAAUGGACUGCCCCAAGUGGCUGAUUAGUACCUAAUAAAGGACCUCAUAAAGGUUACAGAAGCUCAGUUAGACAAACUCUAAAAGGGGAUAGGAGGCUCCUGUGAAAGGGAGCUCUCAAGAGAUGCCUGAGCCAGCAGGCUGAAUAGGGAGUCUUGAAGGCAAGCUCUCUGGGAAACCUACCAGGGUGGAGAGCUUGUAAGAGGAGCUCCUAGAGAGGGGAGCCUCCUAAACACACCUCUUCCAAGACAUUGGCUUGGCAAUGAUCACCCACUAUCCCUGGAGAAGAAUCGCAGUAGACAGACCUCCCUGGAUGCCAGAGAAGAAUGUUUCUUCAGUAGGGGUAAGAAGCCUAACACGAGGGAGAGAAACUGGAACUAAGAGAACCCUGGAGGAAGAACCUGGGUAGAGACGAACAGUGGAUCCAAGUAGGGGACACGGAUUAAGAAUGACCUAGUCACCCUGCUGGGAUGUUGGGGUAAGAGUUUUUUUUAUUUUCUGAGUUGACUUUUCCUCUAAUAAAUGAAAU
Long non-coding RNA from Dermochelys coriacea (leatherback sea turtle), 1319 nucleotides. RefSeq lists it as uncharacterized. The transcript is spliced from 5 exons. The record is from RefSeq and is a predicted model, not a curated record. NCBI's taxonomy places the organism in Eukaryota, Metazoa, Chordata, Testudines, Dermochelyidae.